GAUGAACGCUAGCUACAGGCCUAACACAUGCAAGUCGAGGGGCAGCAGAUCGAAAGCUUGCUUUUGAUGCUGGCGACCGGCGAAUGGGUGAGUCACGCGUGUCCAACCUGCCCUGUGCCCGGGGAUAGCCCUUGGAAAUGAGGAUUAACACCCGAUAGGUGGCGCUUCCGCAUGGCGGCGCCAUGAAACCGACACAGGAUGGGGACGCGUCGGAUUAGCUUGACGGCGGGGCGACGGCCCACCGUGGCGACGAUCCGCAGGGGUUCUGAGAGGAAGGUCCCCCACACUGGCACUGAGACACGGGCCAGACUCCUACGGGAGGCAGCAGUGAGGAAUAUUGGUCAAUGGCCGAGAGGCUGAACCAGCCAAGUAGCGUGCAGGACGACGGCCCUACGGGUUGUAAACUGCUUUUGCGGGAGGAUAAAGGACGCCACGUGUGGCGUUUUGCAGGUAUCCCGUGAAUAAGGACCGGCUAAUUCCGUGCCAGCAGCCGCGGUAAUACGGAAGGUCCGGGCGUUAUCCGGAUUUAUUGGGUUUAAAGGGUGCGCAGGCGGACCGGUAAGUCGUCGGUGAAAUCCACACGCCUAACGUGUGAAGAGCCGAUGAUACUGCCGGACUGGUAUGCAAGGGGCGCGGCCGGAAUGUGUCGUGUAGCGGUGAAAUGCAUAGAUAUGACACAGAACGCCGAUCGUGAAGACAGGUCGCGAACUUGUGAUAGACGCUCAAGCACGAAAGCGUGGGGAUCAAACA
This 750-nucleotide ribosomal RNA is filed under the name uncultured bacterium. RNAcentral's name for it is "bacterial SSU rRNA". It matches the Rfam family "Bacterial small subunit ribosomal RNA", at positions 28 to 774 of the family's 1533-position model. The record is from RNAcentral.